This 1254-nucleotide ribosomal RNA is filed under the name Bolbophorus sp. MK-2019. Its description in RNAcentral is "partial large subunit ribosomal RNA". It matches the Rfam family "Eukaryotic large subunit ribosomal RNA", at positions 91 to 936 of the family's 3401-position model. Lineage: Eukaryota; Metazoa; Platyhelminthes; Trematoda; Strigeidida; Bolbophoridae. The record is from RNAcentral.
GAGUGAAGGGGGAUUAGCCCAGCACCGAAGCCUGUGGCCGUUUGGCUGCUAGGCAAUGUGGUGUUCAGGUCGUCUCUUGGCAUUACUGCUCCAUCCCAAGUCCAGCACUGAGUAUGGCAUCUAAAUUGGCCCAUGGAGGGUGAAAGGCCCGUAGGGGUGGAGAUCAAGUCGGACAGUUUUGCCCUGAGUAGACCUUGGAGUCGGGUUGUUUGUGAAUGCAGCCCAAAGUGGGUGGUAAACUCCAUCCAAGGCUAAAUACUAGCACGAGUCCGAUAGCGAACAAGUACCGUGAGGGAAAGUUGAAAAGUACUUUGAAGAGAGAGUAAACAGUGCGUGAAACCGCUCAGAGGUAAACGGGUGGAGUUGAACUGUAAGCUCCGGGAAUUCAGCUGGUGAGUGUGUCAUGAGCUUGGUCAUUUUCGGCCGGCCUUUGGAGUCCGCUUAGCUGCGGGUCCCUGCUCUUUCGGGAGUAGGGGUGCACGUUGCACUUGCCAAGUGUUGUGCGCUCUGGAGGUUGCCGGGCUGGCUUGCCAGUGCACUUUCCCGGGGUGGUCACCACGACCGGCGUUGUUGUCUUGCUGCUAUAGUCGAACCGGCCAGGUUUGGUCCUUGUGGCUGAACUUGGUCGGGAUGGCAGGUAGCUCAUUGGUUGGCUUGCCAGCCCUUGGGUGUAAUCAGCUGGCUGUAGUGGUUCUGUGCAAUACGUCGGAGAUAGCGGCUUCAGGUAUGUGCUUGUGUUCUGUUAGCUGGCAGUGUCGGGUUUGACUGGCGUGUUUACCUGCUUCGGUGGGUCCGUCGGUAGCUCGAUGCUGUUCGGCUGGUGGUUGCAUUUGUGAUACCGUUCAUGGGCCUAUAGUCUGUGGUGUAGCAGCAAACGAUCCACCUGACCCGUCUUGAAACACGGACCAAGGAGUUUAACAUGUGCGCGAGUCAUUGGGCGUUACGAAACCCAAAGGCGUAGUGAAAGUAAAGGUUCGGCUUGUCUGAGCUGAGGUGAGAUCCUGUGGCUUCUCGUGCGAGGUACCACCAAGCAAGUGAGCUAUGGGCGCAUCACCGGCCCGUCUCAUGGUGUGGUCAUGUAGCCUUGUGUUGCGUGCAUCACCGGGGCGGAGCCUGAGCGCACACGUUGAGACCCGAAAGAUGGUGAACUAUGCUUGCGCAGGUUGAAGCCAGAGGAAACUCUGGUGGAGGACCGCAGCGAUUCUGACGUGCAAAUCGAUCGUCAAACGUGAGUAUAGGGGCGAAAGACUAAUC